CUGGGGCGGUAUACACAAAAGUUCUUAGCAUCGCUAAGUGCACUUAACGGCAAAGAAUCGUUAAGUUUUCUACUUAAAAUGGCGCUGGGCCGCUUAGCGCUGAAGCUGGAGCACUUAGCGGGCGGAAAAUUUAAGGCGGGGAAGGGGCUCCCUUAGCACCGUUAAAAAUGCAUAAGUAUUGCAACAUGGUGGAUUACAGCGGGAGGGAAGGCAUCACCUCCUAAUAUAUCUGCCUCGUCUAGACGAAUUGGAGGCGUGUAAUGAUUUGAAACUCAUCCUGAAAUAUCUGUGGACUGUGCUGACCGUGCUGAGAUGAGUGGUUCGGCGAGGCGGACCUUGGAAACACCUACAUGGCCAUCACGACUGAAGUGGUGUUCGCUGACAGGUAAAAUGCAGGUGCAACCUUCACAGACUGACAGAGAUUGAGUGAUGACAGACACUGGAGACCCUCCAAGCGAUGGCUGGUGACCGCCUGCCACCAUCCACAGGCUGUCACACAAGGAGCCCCGGGAGUAACCUUGCUGGAAGCCCCGCGGGCCGCAGUGUGUGGCUGGCGUUAUACAGCCCCCAGCCAUCGCCUGGAGGGCAUCCAGUGUCUGUUAUCACUCACCUUAGGUAGUCUGUGAAGGUCCAGUCAUCACUGGUGCACGUGUAUCUUACCUGUGAUCAACACCGGCAGCCACAGACUCCUGCCCAAGGAACGAACACAGUGAUCGUGAUGACAUUGACAACAACGAGCAAGUCCUCCUAGACCUAGAGUGACCUCAAGCUGGGCCAAACAUGAUGUGGAAGAAGAAAUCAGUUGUCUCCAUCAGUCGGGUUUGUGCCAUGGCAGCUUUCUCCAGCUGUCCGGCAGAGGUCCAGUCCAUGCCAUGGAGAAAUUCAGCCCCCAACAAUGAGAUGGCAUGCCAGAGAUGGAUCCGCAGCUUCUCCUCCAAUCAGUCAAUCCUUGCAAUGCCCUUUCUCUUUUCUCUUCUUCUGUACCACCAUGCUUACACAUAACUGAUCCAAGGUACUUAAACUCGUUAACCUCCUCCAUUUCUUCACCAUUCAAAAUUAUUUGGCAUUCUUUUUCACAUUCAAUGCCCACUCUAUAUGGGCAUACAAACUCUACAACCUCCCUUCUACUCCGCUCACAAACCAUCACUUUACUUUUGUUGACAUUUACUUUCAACUUUCUCCUUUUACAUACACUAUCAAAAACACUGACCAAAUUUUGUAAGUCACUUUCAUUUUCUGCAUUGAGCACCGUGUCAUCAGCAAAUAAGAUUGAAUUCAUCACCCACUUCCCUCCCUCCCUCAGCAUACAUUUUUACUUCAAUUUCCCCAACUUUGCCCUUCAUUUCUCAUAACACCAUCCAUAUAAAUAUUGAACAACCAUGGUGACAUGACACACCCCUGCCUUAGCCCACUUUCAUCUUAAAAUGUUCACUUGUUUCUCCAGUAAUUUUGACACAUGCAGAUGCAUCCUCAUAGAAAGACUUUAUUGCAUAAAGCAGUUUUCCUCCCACACCAUAUAUCUUUAAGACGUCCCACAAUGCCAGCCAAUCGACUCUGUCAUAAACUUUCUUUAGAAUAACUAGAUCCAUGAAGGCAGCAUAGUAUUUUUUCCUUUUGCUAAUAUUUUUUCUAAUAAAACACCAUCCUGAAGGAAAAUAUCUGAUCCACACAUCCUCUUCCCUUCCUGAAGUCCCCUUGUUCUUCACUGAUUUUCUCUUCUGUAAGUCUUUGCGCAGUCUCAAUUAGGACUUUUCCAUAUACCUUUCCAGGUAGCCUACACUCAGCAGACUUAUACCCCUACAACUCCCACCUCCCCUCUCCUGCCCUUCCCCUUGUAAACUGGGACCAUGAUGGCAU
Long non-coding RNA from Eriocheir sinensis (Chinese mitten crab), 1857 nucleotides. RefSeq lists it as uncharacterized. The record is from RefSeq and is a predicted model, not a curated record. The transcript has 3 exons. NCBI's taxonomy places the organism in Eukaryota, Metazoa, Arthropoda, Malacostraca, Decapoda, Varunidae.